AGGCCGCAGUAGCGGAGUGGUUAGCGCUGCGUACUGACAUUCGGAAGGCUCGGGUUCAAUUCCCCGUGCGACC
Molecule: transfer RNA, 73 nt
Filed under: Ceratitis capitata (Mediterranean fruit fly)
Lineage: Eukaryota; Metazoa; Arthropoda; Insecta; Diptera; Tephritidae
Description: tRNA-Val
Source: RNAcentral